RNAcentral lists this ribosomal RNA (255 nucleotides) under uncultured bacterium. RNAcentral describes it as "partial 16S ribosomal RNA". It matches the Rfam family "Bacterial small subunit ribosomal RNA", at positions 524 to 776 of the family's 1533-position model. The record is from RNAcentral.
UACAGAGGGUGCGAGCGUUGUUCGGAAUUACUGGGCGUAAAGCGCGCGCAGGCGGUCCUUUAAGUCUACCCGUGAAAUGCCGGAGCUCAACUCCGUGCACGCCGGGGGAUACUGGGGGACUGGAGACAUGUAGAGGCAAGCGGAAUUCCGGGUGUAGCGGUGGAAUGCGUAGAUAUCCGGAAGAACACCUGAGGCGAAGGCGGCUUGCUGGGCAUGAUCUGACGCUGAGGCGCGAAAGCUAGGGGAGCAAACGGG